RNAcentral lists this ribosomal RNA (54 nucleotides) under Jeotgalibacillus marinus. Its description in RNAcentral is "partial 23S ribosomal RNA". The record is from RNAcentral. Lineage: Bacteria; Bacillati; Bacillota; Bacilli; Caryophanales; Caryophanaceae.
GGUUUAGCAGCGAGCGAUUCAAGGACGUGAGUGAGAGAAGCCCGGAGUGUGCUC